ACCCGCUGAACUUAAGCAUAUCAAUAAGCGGAGGAAAAGAAACCAACAGGGAUUGCCCUAGUAACGGCGAGUGAAGCGGCAAGAGCUCAAAUUUGAAAUCUGGCCCCCUCGGGGUCCGAGUUGUAAUUUGUAGAGGGUGCUUUGGCGUUGGCUGUGGUCUAAGUUCCUUGGAACAGGACGUCGCAGAGGGUGAGAAUCCCGUAUGUGGCCGCCAGCCUCCGCCGUGUAAAGCCCCUUCGACGAGUCGAGUUGUUUGGGAAUGCAGCUCUAAAUGGGAGGUAAAUUUCUUCUAAAGCUAAAUAUUGGCCAGAGACCGAUAGCGCACAAGUAGAGUGAUCGAAAGAUGAAAAGCACUUUGGAAAGAGAGUCAAAAAGCACGUGAAAUUGUUGAAAGGGAAGCGCUUGCAGCCAGACUUGCCCGCAGUUGCUCAUCCAGGCCUCGCGCCUGGUGCACUCUUCUGCGGGCAGGCCAGCAUCAGUCCGGGCGGUUGGAUAAAGGCCUGCUAAAUGUACCUCUCCUCGGGGAGGACUUAUAGGGCAGGCGACAUGCAACCAGCCCGGAUUGAGGUCCGCGCAUCUGCUAGGAUGCUGGCGUAAUGGCUGU
This 604-nucleotide ribosomal RNA is filed under the name uncultured fungus. RNAcentral's name for it is "eukaryotic LSU rRNA". It matches the Rfam family "Eukaryotic large subunit ribosomal RNA", at positions 23 to 641 of the family's 3401-position model. The record is from RNAcentral. Lineage: Eukaryota; Fungi.